RNAcentral lists this unclassified non-coding RNA (408 nucleotides) under soil metagenome. Its description in RNAcentral is "partial contains 5.8S ribosomal RNA, internal transcribed spacer 2, and large subunit ribosomal RNA". The stretch from base 6 to 121 matches the Rfam family "5.8S ribosomal RNA", at positions 39 to 154 of the family's 154-position model. The record is from RNAcentral.
GAUGAAAGAACGCAGCGAAUUGCGAUAUGUAAUGUGAAUUGCAGAAUUCAGUGAAUCAUCGAAUCUUUGAACGCAUAUUGCACCCUCUGGUAUUCUGGAGGGUAUGCCUGUUUGAGUGUCAUUAAUUCUCAAAGCUUAGAAAACUUGCCUUUUCUUUGCAUUUGGAUGUUGAAGGAUUUGCUGGCUCUUUCUGUCAGCUCCUUUUAAAUACAUUAGCAAGGACUUUGUGGUGCUAGCUUCGGUUUGAUACACUUUUGUUAUCUGAGCUGUUGCAGGGUAUUGCAUUAACCUUUCUUGCUUCUCAAAUUGUCUGCGAUUGUGGACUUGUCUUCUGGACAAUGAUAAUGAACUUGACCUCAAAUCAGGUAGGACUACCCGCUGAACUUAAGCAUAUCAAUAAGCGGAGGA